RNAcentral lists this long non-coding RNA (5274 nucleotides) under Canis lupus familiaris (dog). RNAcentral describes it as "lncRNA (ENSCAFG00000053639.1)". Lineage: Eukaryota; Metazoa; Chordata; Mammalia; Carnivora; Canidae. The record is from RNAcentral.
CUUGGUUCACCACAAAUGGACAGAUGUCAUAAAGGAGGGUGCCGCGGGGCCACUGGAUUCACUCUUGAGACUUAACCAGGUGGUGAGGGAGUCCAGAGUAGGGGCCCAGGAUGGGGACCGCCAUUCACUGCACGCACGCACACACACAUAGAUAGAAUUAUGGAGCCUUAUAUUAUACAUCUUAUAUAUAGAAAAUAUAUAUAUUUAUACUAUACACAGGCAGUUACGCUGCGGGAGGGCGGGGACACCCAGACAAGGGCUGUGGGCACCAGGGGAUGGGGAGAGUCACACCAAGGGUUCAGCUCUGGGAGAUGGCCGGAUCAGCCCCUCCUCCCACAAACUCUUGGGAGGGGUGCUUCCCCUUCCUGCUCCUUAGAGAAUCAAAGGGGUGUUGGGCCAAGGUUGGGGGGCCCUCCAGGGCUAACAAGUGGGGGCUCUUGGUUACAUGGGGAAGCCUGGGACCCCCAAGUCUUUGAAGAUCAAAAACCACCAGGGAAGGUUGGAGUAGGGGAGCGGAUGCCAGUCCCUGGGGAAUUAGUCAUCGAUUGUCACACCGCCAGGUACCAGAGGUCACAUCCAGGCAGACAGCCUGUGACUGUGUAGGAUGAGUGUUAACUCAGAGGCAGGAGACCUAGAUCCCCAACCUCUAACUUGGUGCACGACUGUGGACAAGCGACUGUCUUCCCGGCCGACUCUACCAUCUCUAAGGGUCCUUGCCGUCUGAACUUGUGUGGAACCCAGUUUUCCUGGGCCCUCGCUUGUGCUUGGUGGAAGGAGGGAGCCCAAACUCGGCAAGGUCAGGCCAUGGGGGAGGGGGGGAUUCUCCAAAAAAAGCCUUGGAAGCAUGGGAGAGGCAGAGGGAGGCAGCAGGUAGAGAAAAGAGGACACCACUGGCCCGUGAGCACAGGCUCUAAGUCUGGGGCCCCUGGGGGGCUGUCCUCAGCCAGUGGAAGCAGGACAUCCCUACUGGCCUCCCGGAAGGGGCGUCAGGAGCCCUGGGUCUCAGCCGAAUCCCGCCCUCCCACAUCUCACACUCUCCAUUUCUCACUCCAUCACUGGCUGGCCCCUGCCAACACCCUGCCUGAUGGUGGGAUCAUGUCUGGGCUGUACCCCAGGUCGAGUGAGUAACGCAAAGUGAGAAGAUUCUGUGCCCCUCACUCCUGGCAGGGGUCCUAUAAAGUCUCCGGGUCUCGGGUGGCAGGGAGAGUCUAUAAGAAACACCCAGGGGUUGGGGGAAGCGUAAGUGGUACCCUGCCCCCCAGCUCAGUUUCACGAGCAGCUGGUCCAUUCCCAGGGAGAACCGAUGGGCAGCACCCUGGGGUCUCCUGGUGAUCAUCAGCAGGGGAGGUGUCUGGUGGGGAGUGGGUGAGGGGAAGGACUGCUCUCAGCGUCCUGUGUGGGCACAGAACUCAUUUUGCCAGCAGCACACCCACAACUGCCCACACUCUUCCCUGCUUCCAAAACCUGGUCUGGUACAGGUUCCAUCCCAUCUCCACCUGGGCCACCGGGGGGGGGGGGGGGUGCGGGGGGCACCAGACACCACAGAGCCCCUUCCCCAGAUGUGGAAAACUGAAGUCAACAACAACCAGCUGUUGCUCAGCUGUCUGGGGUUCUCUCCUGCUGCGGCUGCCCCUCGGGAGGCCUGGAACAGGCAUAAAUUCAGAUCCAUGCUCCACUGCUAGCUCCUUAACACUCACUUCCUGAGCCUCAGUUUCCCCUUCUGUUAAGGGGAGGGAUGCUACUUCUCUACCUAGGAAAUUCUUUCUCCUUCCCUCACUGCUGUGCUGACUGCUACCCAUCCUCCUGGCCUCUCCCAGGGGCGCCUCAUCCUCUGCCCUCUGGUGGACCCUGGGUACAGUGGCUGGCAUGGGGCUCAUCUCCGGAUGGCCAGCGAGCAUGUCUCCAGAGUCCCUGGCACAGGAUAGCUGCUGAGUCAACAGGCAAGUGAGUAUCCCUUGCCUCGGAGGGUUCUCAGGGGCAGGGCACGGGGCGCUGGUGGUGGGAACAUCCAGCACGGUGCCAAGCCGCGACCCCCUGGGGCUGGACAGUGGACGCGGGGCCCCGUGUCUCCCCACACCUCUCUCUCUAAGGUCUCCCCAUCCCUUGAGGCUCAGGAAAGAGCCCACCUGAGCAAGAGUCCCUCCCUGCCCCCAACCGUCCUUGUGCCUUUGGAGACACCUGCUAUUGUCUCCACUGCAGCCUACCACGAGCCAGGGGCUCUCAGCGUUCAUCCUGGGAGCAGUCUGUCUCAUGGCAGCGGGUUAAAGGCUGGCCUUGCUGGCUCCAGAGCCCCUGCCCUCUCUGCUCAUCAGGCCUCUUGGAAGGCCGGUGGAAGGCCCCUCUGCGUCCUUGGCUGUUCCAGCCCCUGAGCCCCCUGGCUACCCCUGACUGGGGGGAAGAUGACACAGUGUCCCGGAUCAGUUCUGUUUCCUGGGAGGUCACAAGAACAGGGCAGGGAAUUGGGCCACCUGCUGGGUGGCUGGAGCCAAGAAACCCAGGCAGUGAGCCCAGCUCUGCCACUUUGUCGCUCUCUGUUCUGGGCCUCCCCGUCCACCCAGCCCUGGGCAAGGACGAUGGUCAGUCCUUUGGGAGGCCAGAAAGAGGGUGCUGAGCUCCCGGUGGGGCACGCACAGCCCGGAGCAAGACAUGGGGAGACGAGCGAGUGAGGCAAGCCCCUUUGGCCUCCCACCCUGGAGGGGUUGAGGGAGAGGCUGAGGGGAUGUGGGGAGGGGGCCUGGAGGCAGGGCUGUCCCACCAUGGGGAGCAGCAGAGCAGAACAGGCCCCUGGCUUGCAGCAGAAUCAGGGUAUCUCAUGGGCUGAGGUCCCCAAGCCCUCCCAGAGUGACAGAAGCACUGACAGUGGAGCCCUGGGCUCGGGAUGGGGAGGGCAGGGAGGACAGGGGCCAGCAGGUGCUCUGCAGUCAGUCUUGGCCCCAACUCUAUUACUGGCUGCCUGAGUGACCCUGGGCAAGGGGCCUUGACCUCUCUGGGCCUUGGUGUCCUCAACCAUAAAAUGGAGACAACCCCAGCACUCAUGUGUACCUGUACUUGUUCACACCUACCCUGGAGCCAAACCUUCCCAGCAUCGUCCCGGUCUAUCUUUCACACCAGUUCCCACCUCUGGUACCAGUGGGGCUCCUCUGUACCUUGCCUUCCCCAUCCUGGGACCAUCUGUCUCUCACCACUGGUGUCAAGCACAUACCUGACACACAGUAGGCACUCGAUGAAUGCUCCAUGACACAAUCGAUGAAUACAAACACCCCCCAGCCCCUGCUGGACAGACUUGCACACACAUGUAGAUGCACCCCCAACACCUUACUGCCCCACCCCGUACUGAGCUGCCCUUGACCCCAGUGGAACAACCCAGAGGCUGCUGAAGAACUGGGCAGGGCAGCCUGGGAGGGAGCAGGGUCUGGGUGUGGGCAGGGGGAAAGGGGGGGCUGGCGGGGGGUGGCUGGGACUGGGACAGGGACAGGCGAGGGGUAAGUGGUCACUGCAGCUCAGUAGCCCUGCGACUGGUAGCCCUGGGGCUCGGUGUCAAAGGCGUUGGCCGGCUGCUGGUAGGUACCGCCCAUGCCAGCAGGGUCUGGCCCGGCGCUGGGCUCCACGUAGGGGGCGUAAGGCAUGCUGGAGUCCUGGCUGGGGUCCAUGUAGUCCUGGGAGAAGAGGGCCGAGUCGGCGCCAAUCUGGUACCGCUGGAAAGCCAGCACAGCCUGGCCCGCCUGGGGAUGGGGGCCGGCGGAGACAAGGACAGACGGGAGGGGAUGGUUAGAGGAGAGACAAGAAGAGCGGGUUAGUGGCAGUUAGUUCACAGGACACAGGCAAUAGCGGUUAAAUAUCCUCGAAGCACCGAAGAUGAAACCCAGCGGGACCCAGGGCCAGUCUGUCCUGCAGCCAGCCCUCCACACACCUGGAGCCACCCUGUCCAUCCAGCCAGAAGGACCUUCAGAAGUCACCUGCCCCGUGUCCCCCAUCCCCAGCGGUCACUAUGCAUCACCAAAAGUUCUUCGCUGUGGAGUGUAGCCCAAAGGCCACCACAUCCUCCUCAAACUGUGUUCUCAGGGCUGUUAUGCGGCACGGGGAAAAAAAAUUUUUGGUGGGACAGAGAACAGUUGGUAUCUCCUCAAAGCCGGCCUCUCUCGCAGCUGGGUGUAACCACGUAACUAAGUUCUGGCCAACAAAUCGCCCCCAGUCCUUCGUCCUACCCUUUGGCCUGACGCCUGGAACGCAGAUGUGGCAGCUAGAGCUCUAGCUGCCACCAGGGACCACGAAGUCCAUGAGCCGAACUGUAGGGACAGAAGAGGCCCGGGUCACUGUAAAGACUUCUGGAGCCACUCGGCCAGUCCUGGGCUGUCUUCUCACACCUGGGCUUCAUUUACACCACUGCUACUUACAAUUUCAUUCGCUGCUGAACUUAAUUCUAACUGAAACACUUGGUCAAACAAGUUUGGGAGUAAAAUAAGUUUUAAGACCAUAGGACUUGUCAGAGCCUUGAUUCAUGUAUGCUGGGAUCCCCAAGGGAAAACUAUGGCAAGCAGCAUUUGCCAACCUUAUCUGACCUGUAGGGGAAAGACUGGUCUACAGCGUAUGUACGUAGGUGAGAAAUUCUUUUUGAGGAACAGCUACUACAUUGUUAUUAUGGAUGAUGAUGACCACACCAAGCUAGGGAAUAGAUUUUAAAGCAUAGUUUUUAGGUUUACAUUGAAAGCCUUCUCCAAAGAUCUUUUCAGCGGGUAAUCCGAGAUGGAAAGAUGCUAAUGCUCCACAUACCCACUCUUGGGACGGGAGGACUGAGGCUCAGUUAAGGGAGGCCUCACGGCAGACUUAGUGCCAGAACCCAGACCUGAACACAGAGGUCCUGCCUCUUUCCAGGCCACAGCCCUCCUCAUCUCCUUCCCUUUCAUCAGACCCCUGAGAAGGCAAUAAACCAACGAGGAACCCAAAAAGGCCAUCUGGUGAGAGGCAGGAGAAGUGGGCUUGGCAUUUUAAUUCUAGAAAGUUCCAGAAGCCCAGUGACUAGGCACUGGCUUUUGAUUUGUGUCGUUGGUAAAAGCUCUGAGCUCAGGCAGCCCUUCCUGAAUGGCGGCCGUGUAAAGCAGUGCAGGAGCCCGAGAAAGGCAGACCAGGCGUAAAGGGAUCCAGCUGAGGAAAUCAGGCUUCCCUUGGCUAGUCAGUGCAAGAGGCCACAAGAGCCUGGUAGGGGCUGGGGGGCAGGGGACCCUGCUGGACAGGGGUGCAAAGGGGAGGCUGGGAGUUCUGCUCAGAGCCCAGGGA